Molecule: ribosomal RNA, 479 nt
Filed under: Salmonella enterica subsp. enterica serovar Enteritidis
Lineage: Bacteria; Pseudomonadati; Pseudomonadota; Gammaproteobacteria; Enterobacterales; Enterobacteriaceae
Description: partial 23S ribosomal RNA
Rfam family: Bacterial large subunit ribosomal RNA
Source: RNAcentral
GAGGCGAUGAAGGGCGUGCUAAUCUGCGAUAAGCGCCGGUAAGGUGAUAUGAACCGUUAUAACCGGCGAUACCCGAAUGGGGAAACCCAGUGUGAUUCGUCACACUAUCAUUAACUGAAUCCAUAGGUUAAUGAGGCGAACCGGGGGAACUGAAACAUCUAAGUACCCCGAGGAAAAGAAAUCAACCGAGAUUCCCCCAGUAGCGGCGAGCGAACGGGGAGGAGCCCAGAGCCUGAAUCAGCAUGUGUGUUAGUGGAAGCGUCUGGAAAGGCGCGCGAUACAGGGUGACAGCCCCGUACACAAAAGCGCAUGUGCUGUGAGCUCGAUGAGUAGGGCGGGACACGUGGUAUCCUGUCUGAAUAUGGGGGGACCAUCCUCCAAGGCUAAAUACUCCUGACUGACCGAUAGUGAACCAGUACCGUGAGGGAAAGGCGAAAAGAACCCCGGCGAGGGGAGUGAAAAAGAACCUGAAACCGUGU